Molecule: ribosomal RNA, 467 nt
Filed under: uncultured bacterium
Lineage: Bacteria
Description: partial 16S ribosomal RNA
Rfam family: Bacterial small subunit ribosomal RNA
Source: RNAcentral
GACGAACGCUGGCGGCGUGCUUAACACAUGCAAGUCGAACGGAAAGGCCUAGCUUGCUGGGUACUCGAGUGGCGAACGGGUGAGUAACACGUGGGUGAUCUGCCCCUGACUUUGGGAUAAGCCUGGGAAACUGGGUCUAAUACCGGAUAUUCAUUUUUCCUCGCAUGGGGAUUUGUGGAAAGCUUUUGCGGUUGGGGAUGGGCCCGCGGCCUAUCAGCUUGUUGGUGGGGUAAUGGCCUACCAAGGCGACGACGGGUAGCCGACCUGAGAGGGUGAUCGGCCACACUGGGACUGAGACACGGCCCAGACUCCUACGGGAGGCAGCAGUGGGGAAUAUUGCACAAUGGGCGCAAGCCUGAUGCAGCGAUGCCGCGUGAGGGAUGACGGCCUUCGGGUUGUAAACCUCUUUCAGCUCCGACGAAGCGCAAGUGACGGUAGGAGCAGAAGAAGCACCGGCCAACUACGUG